UAUGAGAACCAAGGAAAUGAACGCGCCCUAUCUCGUCUGAUCUCGGAAGCUAAGCAGGGUCGGGCCUGGUUAGUACUUGGAUGGGAGAACCAAGGAAAGCAGUGAGUUUUUUUGA
This 115-nucleotide ribosomal RNA is filed under the name Neogale vison (American mink). The record is from RNAcentral. Lineage: Eukaryota; Metazoa; Chordata; Mammalia; Carnivora; Mustelidae.